AUGGCGGCGGCGACCUCCGGCGUCAGCAGGCUCAGCGCGGUGGCAGGCAACAACAACGGCGACGUCGGCCUCCAAGACUCCUGGCCUCUGUUGGAAUAUUUUCGGGCAUUGUCUCAUCAAUUUUACCGAACUCCUGAACACCAUAGAUUUGUGCGGCAACAGGUGGUCAAUCAGCACAGCCGUAUGUACAAGAAGCAGAGCGCAUCAGUUCAUGCUCGAGCCCCGAAGAAGGUAGCAAUGUUUGGGUUUUCCUCAAGGAUGUUGGACACUAUUUACAUUAUGUUAGAUGCAGAUAAUGUUGUUGAUUUACGAGAAUUAUUUAUUUACCUAGUGGAUCCCCAAUUAUAUAUUUGUCCCUAUCAAUGCAAAUGUUGA
Molecule: ribosomal RNA, 375 nt
Filed under: Triticum aestivum (bread wheat)
Lineage: Eukaryota; Viridiplantae; Streptophyta; Magnoliopsida; Poales; Poaceae
Description: partial small subunit ribosomal RNA
Source: RNAcentral